Molecule: long non-coding RNA, 1223 nt
Filed under: Arabidopsis lyrata
Lineage: Eukaryota; Viridiplantae; Streptophyta; Magnoliopsida; Brassicales; Brassicaceae
Description: long non-coding RNA (ALYR_LNC002228)
Source: RNAcentral
AGAAAUGAGGAAGGUGGUAACUCCAUCUCUACCGUGGUUUUGCGUGGAAGCACAGAUAGCAUUUUGGACGACCUUGAGAGAGCUGUUGAUGAUGGUGUUAAUACAUACAAGGUAAUAUCUGCUGGGUUAAAGAUUUUUUUUCCCUGUCCAGUUUCAUUUGUACCAAAUAUAUUGUAUUUAUCUUGACUGUUAUUUCUUAUAUUUUCUUCUCAGGCCAUGUGCAGAGACAGCCGUAUUGUUCCUGGGGCUGCAGCUACCGAGAUAGAAUUGGCUCAAAGAUUGAAGGAAUAUGCCAAUGCAGAAAUAGGGUACUUUCUUUUACUUAAUUUUUCAGAAAUUAUCCAUGUGAGGCUAGCUUUUUAUGCAAAACUGUCUAUCGUUUGGUAACUAAACUUAAGUCUCACUUUUGAAUUUUCAGGUUAGACAAAUAUGCCAUCUCCAAAUACGCUGAGAGUUUUGAGUUUGUACCCAAAACCCUUGCAGAUAAUGCUGGCCUCAAUGCCAUGGAAAUCAUAGCCGCUCUGUACACUGGACAUGGAUCUGGAAACACAAAACUAGGCAUUGACUUAGAGGAAGGUGCUUGUAAAGAUGUUUCAGAGACAAAAGUAUGGGAUCUUUUUGCAACCAAGUAAGUUUCACACAGUCUUUCUGCCAUCAGAUCUUUCUGUCAGACUUCUCUAUUCUUACUUAGCAGUUGUUCUUGAACAUAUAGAAAACUGGAGUAGAAUUUUCUGACUGCUUACAAAAAAGACCAUUCAUUUUAAUUGAUAACUAAGAUGUGUAAGUCUCUGUGCAGGUUAUUUGCUCUUAGAUAUGCUUCAGAUGCUGCAUGCACUGUACUUCGUGUAGACCAGGUAUACGAUUCAUCCCAUGAAGUAAAAAGAUAGUGUUCGCUGAAUGCAUUAUCUUCUAAGAUUAUGUCCCUUGUUCGUGCAAACUCUUUGAUUCAAUAUUCAGUUCUAUUGAUAGAUCUCAUCGAGUAUACUAAAAACAUGCAUGUUUAAUUGUUUAUACUCUAAAUGUGUAAAAUGUGCAGAUUAUAAUGGCGAAACCAGCCGGUGGACCAAGGAGAGAUGCAGCUCAAGCUGCAGGUGCUGGUGCGGAGGAAGACUAAGCCGGAGAACAAUUACCUCGUAGUGAAACUCUCUCUUCUUUUGUAACCUUUUGUUCUUUCAAUUCUGAGAAAAUUUUGGUGUGUCUCAGUUUAAGAUUUGUGAUCUUUG